ACAUAUUCAAAGCAAUAUACAGACAUACUCUAAUCAUUAAUCAUUCAUCAUACAUGAGUAUGGGUCUUACACAAUAGGUGUCCCAGGUUCAGCCUGUCAAUCAAUCCCAGAAGUUAGGAUAACGUCUUCUCUAACUUCUCCCCAUUCUUAACUUGUUUUUAUACUAUUUCUUUAUCUUCAGGAGGAUCUUGAGUGGCUCUAAUCAUGCAUCAUAUUCAGUAAGGGGUAAUUGUACCUUGGAGGUGGGUAACUUUGGGAUGGAGGUGUGCAUCUUACAUCUGAGGUAACUUUGGGAUGGAGAUGUGUAUCUAUCUUACAUCUGAGGAGUGUGAUUUUGUCACAGCUGCUGCUGCAACAAGAAUGGACAGCUUGAACUCUGGCUACAAUGAAGUAGCAUUUGGUCUCUCUACUUGGAAGAUGUCAACUGCACUGCAGUGAUGAAGAUAGCUGUGAGAUCACAUUGAAAGAGAUGCAUAUAACCAACAAUGUACUUGAAUCAAAUUGCAUCUAUGGGGAAGUAAACAAUCUAAAUAAGAAAGUAGAAUAAAAAUGUUAUAGAGGAUGUUACAAAAGAGCUGUUUUUCUAGGUUCACAGGAUCAUCAUUUUAUUGAUGGCUUCCAAGGCACAUUUCAAUGCUCCUGCAGCUGAUAGAAGCUAGUAGUCCUGAAAACAGAAAAGAAAAUGCAAUGUCUUACAAAUCAGUGAAAAACUCUG
Molecule: long non-coding RNA, 715 nt
Organism: Passer domesticus (house sparrow)
Lineage: Eukaryota; Metazoa; Chordata; Aves; Passeriformes; Passeridae
Exons: 3
Source: RefSeq, a predicted model, not a curated record